UUCUAUGUGAUGAUGCUGAAUCGUUGAUGAAGGAAUUGCUGGGUUUGAAGCAUUUAAAUUUUUUAAGCUGGUCCUUCCGAAGUUCACUUGCUGUCCAAAAGUUUUUGAAAUAUCCAAAGCUGGUGAGCAUCACUCAAUCUGUACGGGUUGAAUGUGGUGGCAAGUUUACUACAAGGCCACCGUUCAAUGUCUUACAUAUGGCAUACAUGGAGAAUCUUCAGGAGUUACGUCUUACAACCAGUAGUUUGGAAGAGAUGAAGAUUGACAGCACAGAAGAGGUGAAGAAACUUUUUCAAAGUGGUUUCCGCAGUCUCAACACAGUUCAUGUAUUUUGUUGCCAUAAAGCGAAGGACUUAACGUGGCUUGUUUUUGUUAAAAACCUCAAGGAGCUGCGUAUAGAGUUUUGUUAUGAUGUGGAAGAAAUAAUCGGGGUUGAUAAAUUGAGAGAUAUUUCAGAGAUAAUCGGGUCAGAGCAUAACUUUUUCGCACAACUCGAAUCUCUAACCAUAACGUCGGGAAGAAAUUUAAAGAGCGUUUACCCGAAUCCCCUGCUCUUUCCAAAGCUGAAGAAAAUUGAAGUACGUGUAUGCCCACAGCUGAAGAAGCUCCCACUCAAUUCCAGCAGCGCGAAGGAACGUCGAGUUGUCAUCCGGGGAGAGAAAGAAUGGUGGGAAGAGCUACAAUGGGAGGAUCAAGACACCCAAAAUGCUUUUUCUUCCGGUGCCGUACUUACUGAGGUUCCUUUUUAUUAAUAUGUUUGAAUAUGUAUUUCUUUUUUUUCUUUUUUAAUUUUCAUUAGAUUUAAUUGCAUCUUGUUCUUGUUGUCUGGUGUGUCAAUCGUUCCCUAUUUUCAGUUAAUAAAAUUUCAGCAGUGGAUUCUUGGUUUAUUAAUGUUUAUAUAACUGAAUUGUUCAGCAGAUGUACUCUGCAUAUGUACUCUGACUCUGCUUCUGGCUUCUAAGGAGAAAGAGGUGAAAAUAAACAUUUUAUCUUCCCUUAGCUGCUCUCCUUUGGUUUGAAAUAUGUGACCUUUAUAUAUACUCGUCAACAAAAUUGUAUUUGUCGCUUUAAGUCUUGUUUGUUUUAAAUCCUGGCAUAUGUAAUUAUGUAUGGAGUGGGAACUGAGAUGAUGAUGAAAGAUAAGAAAACAGUAAUUGAAUCUGUUAUAAUUUUAAUAUUAAUUUAACAAGAAAGUGAUAUUAAUUUGCCUGGCCCAUAUGAAAAACAAUUAUAAUUAACGCUUUUUCUUUUUCUUUAAUUAGUAAUAGAUUUCGGAUAGAAAGCAGACAAAUUUAAUUUCUGCUUCAAUAACUACCCUAUCACUGUGUGCGUGAUCACAUAAUUUUGGACUACCGCUUGUGGAAUAACUUUAGAAAAAGAAAAUUAAUAUUUUUAAGUAACGAUAAAUAUUUUAAAUUUUAUUUUAACUAAAUUUGAAAUGAUGUGAUUGGCAGGUAAGACUUAAGAAUUAGACAAAUUUUCUCAUUCCACAGCUUGUAGAAAAUUUAUACUCUAGGCCUUAUCUAAACUUGGACUUAUCGCCUGCGGUAAAGCAUGAGUCAUGUUUCCAUGUAUGUUUGAAAUAAAUAUUUUAAAUUUUUAUUUUAAAUUGUUUUCUUCUCUUAUCAAUUAUUUGUUUCUCCUAUCUUCCAAUGAAAGUGCAGGACCUCAAUUAUUUUAAUAGAGAUGUAGUAAUAAAUUAUUAAUGAAACAUGUCAAAUCCAAUGUAUAGAUAAUAAUAAAAUGAGGCUAAUGCUAAGUUACAUGCAUGUAACUUAAGGGAUCCAUAAAAUAAAUAUACAUUGUUUCAAAAAAGUUAGCACAUGCUUGUUACAAAUAUAAAACAUUAUCUUAAAAGUCUCUGAACUUUUGUGUUCUCUUUAACAUUUUUCUCUUAUGUUGUUUUUGUACUAUAUGGAUACAAGAGUGCGUUUGGGAUGCUGUAUUAUAUUAUGUUAUAUUGCAUUAUUUUAAUGCAGGUGUAUUGCAUUAUGUUGUGUUGUAUUAGUAAUGUAUUAUAAUAAUGUUGUACAAUGUUUGGUAUUACACUGUACUGUAUUAAUUUUUAAAUAUAUUAUAUUUGAUAUAGCACUAUAUUGUAUUAAUUUUUUGUGACUAAUUUAAAUUAUAUAUUUAGAAAAUACUAAUGAAUUGUGCUAAACAAUCUAAUAAUUAUAUAUUUUAUUAAUUUUUAAUUAAUAUUAUUCAAAUUUAUUCAUAUUUAAAUAUUUAUUAUUAGUUAUAUUAAAUUAUUUAAAAAUAACUAGUUUAAUUAUUUUAAUAAAUUAUAUUAUAUUAUAUUAUAUUAUAUUAUAUUAUUUAAGUAUUUAUUAUUAGUUAUAUUAACUUAUUAAAAAUUAAUCAAUUAUAUAUAUUAAUUAAUAUAAUUUUACAUAUUAAUUAAUAUAAUAUAAUUAAAUAAUACAUUUUUUAGUUAUACAUUUACUAUGAUAAAAAUUAAAAUAUAAACAUAAUAUUAUUAAACAAUAAAUUUAUUAAUUUAUAUUAAAAUUAUAAUGUAAAAAUAAUAUUAUAUAAUAUAAUAUUAAAUUAAAAAUUAUAUUCAUUUAUCAUUAUUACAAAGUAUAAAAAAAAAAAAAAAAAAAAAAAGAGGAAGCUAAAGCUAAAGCGUUAACUGGACACAUUAGCUAAACCCGACAAUAUGUUGGGUUUAGCUAAUAUAGCCAUUUGGUACCCCAAACAUGGGGCUGCAUUGCUAAUGUAAUGCAAUCCCAGGUAAAGAGGGGUACCAAACAACCCCCAAGUUCACUUAAUGUAACAUAACAUAUUUAUAUAUAUAUACACUACGUGGAGGUGAGCUCCUUAAGGUGAGAUUUAGCAAAAUUAUAAAUUAUUACAGCAUGAAAUUUAUUCUUAUUUAUAAUUGGCCUAAUAUAAAUUAGGACCAUUACUUUUAUAGCUAUAUGAAAUUAUUCUUAUAUAAAAUAUCACUACAUAAAUGUUUUAUUGCAAUAUUGAUCUCUUUUUUUCUUUAUUGUAUUUAUCUCUUCAUAAUCUUUUCCUUUUUAUUAAAAAAAAAUCAACUAAAAGAUUCAUCAACAUCUUAGUCCAACAAUCUACCAGCGAAAACGAGUGUCCAUGCUUUUGAACCAAGGCCCAAUAUGUGAGGGAGAGAUUGUUGGGUUGUCUUAUAUCGGUUGUGAAUAGGAAUGGCAAAAUCCGGGUCCAGGUCCGGGUUUAGCCUUCCCGGUUCCGGACCCGGACACUAUUUUUUUGUUCCUCGACCCGGAUUAAAACUCGGUUUUUUCUCAUGCGGGUCCGGGCCGGGUUCAACCCGGAAAAAUCCGGGUUUUGAACCCGGAUCAAUAACUCAAAACUAACUCCAGAAAACUCCAGAAAGCAAUUCAAAUGGUGAAUAUUAUGGCAUAGGUACAGAAUCAUCCAUUUUUCUCUCUUCGGUGGGUUAGCUACUAAGCUUCAAAUUUGAGGAAAAAGGAAAAGAAAAGUCAGUUAAGUGGUCAAUCCACAACCACCAUCUCCAAUCCCAUGGCAUUUCUCAAGGCUUUAUCAGAUCAUUUCAUUUGACAGCAUCAUUGAAAAGAAAAAAAAAUAUGAUGAUAUGAGUCUUGAAAUUAAUUAAGUAUUAAAUAUGCAACUAAAGCGAGAUAUUAUUGAAAUAAUCAAGUAUUAUAUAUGGUAAGUAAAGUGAGCAAAGUAUGAUGACUGUAAAUAAUUUAAUUAUAAAACCGCAAAUACGCAAGUGUGUGGUGAAUCAAACGAAUAGAGGAGCUGAUGAAGAUGAAUAGAGGAACUGCAGUGCUGCAAGCAUGUGACGGUGGUGAACCAAACAAGUUGCGAGUUGCGACGGUGGGGAACCCAAGCUUUUGACAGUGGCGAACGCCGCGAACCCAACCUUGUGACGGUGAUGAACCCAGGCGAUGGUUGUUUGACUUGCCUGCUGGACAGCGGGAGGCGGCAGCCGCGACACAGUUAGGGUUUUUCACUUUUUCUUAUGUAAUCGCGAUUUGUGAUAGAAAAUAGAAAGAAUGAAAGAAAAAAAUGAAUUGCGAUUUUUUAAGAUUUUUUUUUAUGUUUCUAUUUAUAUUAACUAAUAAAAAUAAUAUAAAAAAAAUGAAUACGGAUCCGGGUUCCGGAUUCACGGGUUACCCCAAACCCAGAUUAAUCCGGGUUAUUAAAAUUCAUUCCGGAUCCGGAUUUUUUUCCACUCCGGUACGGGUUCAACCCUCCCCGGAUUAUCCGGGUUAGUCCGGAUUAUUUUGCCAUCCCUAGUUGUGAACUAGGAUGGUGGUGAUUUUACAAGUGUGAGGGAAAGCCUCACCCCUUAUCCAUCUUUUGGGAUUGAAUGAGACCCAAAACCGCCUAAUAUGAAUUCUAUCACUGGGAUUUUUACCCAGUAUAACAAACAUAACAACACAAUGAAUUAUCAAUUUAUCACCUAAUGGCUCUAACUUUAGCGAUGAUCACCUUACAUGAACAUGAAAAUUAAUCCCAUUGAUUAACUCAACAAUGACGAUAAUCACUUAAACUCUUAUGCACCAAAGGAUAUACUCGCUACAGGGGUCUUAACUCAUAAAGAUGCUCCCACAUCUUCCAUUAAGUUUCCAUCGAACAACUAUUCAUAUCAUUUGAUGAAAAAUUAAUUUUAGUGGGGGCCAAAAGAGCACGAGUGAUCCAAACCACUAAACAACAUCAUAACCAACACAAAAUUUAUACUAAACCAUUACCAAAACAGCAAAGCUAGACAUAAAUUUGAACAGAUACACAAGCUACAUUCAUUACCAUAAUGUAUCGACUAAAUUUCCAAGCUCUACAUUUUGAACAAAGAAUUUAUAAUAUUACAUAAUCUAAUAAAUUAAUAUAGAAAUAAAAUUGGCAUCAGAUCAAAUUACUAUUAAUCUACCUUGCAUAAACCAUUCUCUUGUAUCGGCAUUCACGUCCGCGCUCGAUUGGCUCUCCUGUGCUGCUUGUCUAACUGAUUCAAAUCCACAUAGAUAAAAUUAAGCACAUUAAGUUUUCAAACUCAAAUCAAACAGCUUUAAAAGUUACAUCACAAACAAUGAAUUUCAUUUUCGAAAUACAAAGAAUCCGUUCAGUUUAAAACAAUAAAAAAUCGUCUACGACUACUCAACUCAUGUAUUAUAACUAAAAAAACGAAGGAUACCCACAAAAAUUAAAGAUAAAUUACCAAAAAAAAAGCCAGAGAAUGGAAAUUGGCGUACCAGGGGCAGGCGAGAGGAAACGAGAAGAGGAAGAAAGAAGGGUUUUGGAGAGAGUGGGAAUUAGUGGAGGCAAAAAUGGAGAGUUUUGAGAGUGAGAUGAUUGGUGGGGUGGUGAUGGCGGUGGUGGGGUUAAUGUUCUGGAGGGUAUGCUGAAGAGAGGUCGCAAGAGAACCUCCAUAGCCUUUAAAGAGAGUUGAGUUGCUGCUUUCUUUUGCCGUGGAUAGAGAGAGAUUAAGGGAUUAGAGUUCUGUAUUGAAUUUACUUUUUAUUAAAUAAAAAAUUAAUGUUAAAAUUUAUUUUAUUUAAUUUUUUAUUUAUCUAUCAUUGACUUAAUAUUUUGGAUCUUCAUCCAAACCUAAGGUAGAAAAUUUUUAUUCUAAAUAAUAUAUUGUCAAUAUAAAUUUAUCACGUAGAUAACAAAUGAUAAGAUUUAAUAUUAACUAUGUGAUUACUUGGUUGAAAUACAAAUUUUAUAUGACGUGCAAACGUAUCAUUAUAUUCUUGAUAUUUGACAUAAUGAAUAAAGCAACAAAUGUGUCAUAUUUUUAUUUUGGUGUUGUGGUUCUCUAAAAAUUGUUGAAAGCAGCGGCUGUGAAGAGUCAACGGUUGACCUUGAAGCCAAGCUGGCAUGCCUCCUGAGCUACUCCCGUGUGCAACCAGCUGGUGCGGCAGGUGAGUUGGAUUUGUUGAGCUGGCAAAACUGUUAUGUUGAAGAAUAGCAGCGCAUGUGCAUUGAAUAGUUGCAUCUUCUAGAAGCUUAAUGUGAUUGGUUCACAAUUGCUAUAUUCACGGAUCAAUUUUGAUUACUUCCGUGUAAUACCCCUUAGGCUAGCAGUCAUUAUUUUUUGUCUCUGUAUGUAAGCUAGCAAAGCUCUGUAUUUCAUUUUCAUUCAAGUCAUCAUAAUCAAUAAAAACCUGAUUCUCAUACUCUGUUUGCAUUUGAAAGCAAUUCUUAAGAAUUUAAGUAAAAAUUAGCUUAAUUCUUUUCAUUGUACUCAUUGCUUCUCUUCCGCUUUUCGUCAACGACAAUGGGUAACCUAAUCUCAACCUUCUUACCAGCAGAAUUAUUUGAUCGAACUUCAAACUGCGUUGGUGAACAAGCAAAUUAUGUAUGGGGUCUCGAAAAAAAUCUUCGGGUCUUGGAGACUGAAUUGCACAAAUUGACUCGAGCAAGGGACGAUCUGAAGACCAAGGUUGAGGUCGAAGAACAACGACCUGGGAAAUGGAAUUAGGAGCUUAUCGGAAAUUCCCACGUGUCCGCGGCUCGUAACUUUACUUCUGGGUGGAAAUCGGAUUGAGGAGAUCACUGAUGGCUUCUUUCAAUCGAUGUCUUCUCUUAGAGUAUUAAGUCUAAGAGGAAAUUUUCCCCUAAGAACACUACCUUCAGGGAUUUCAGGUUUGGUUUCAUUACAUCAUCUUGAUCUAUCAUCGACUAACAUAACUGGGUUGCCGCAAGAGCUGAAGGCGUUGGAGAAGUUGAGAUAUUUGAACUUGGACUAUACACGGUUUUUGUCUAUAAUUCCACAUCAAUUGAUAUCUGGCUUUUCAAAGUUGGAGGUACUCAGGUUGCUUUCACGCGGUCGCUGGAGCGUAAUAGAAGGUAACGUUCUAUGUGAUGAUUCUGAACCUUUGAUGAAGGAAUUGCUGGGUUUGAAGCAUUUAAAUGUUUUAAGCUGGACCUUCCGAAGUUCACUUGCUGUCCAAAAGUUUUUGAAAUAUCCAAAGCUGGUGAGCAUCACUCAAUCUGUAAUGGUUUGCCAAUGUGAAAGUCAACCGUUCAAUGUCUUACAUCUAGCAUACAUGGAGAAUCUUCAGGAGUUACGCAUUUCAAACAGUAAUUUGGAAGAGAUGAAGACUGACAGCACAGAAGAGGUAAAGAAACUUUUUCAAAGUGGUUUCCGCAGUCUCGACAGAGUUGUCAUAUGGAGUUGCCAAAAAAUGAAAGACUUAACGUGGCUAGUUUUUGUUCAAAUUCUCAAGCAGCUGCGUAUAGUCUUUUGUACAGAAAUGGAAGAAAUAAUUAGUGUUGAUAAAUUGAGAGAUAUUUCGAAGAUAAUCGGGUCAGAGCAUAACUUUUUUGCACAACUCGAAUCUCUAACCAUAAAGUGGGGAAGAAAUUUAAAGAGCGUUUACCCGAAUCCCCUGCCCUUUCCAAAGCUGAAGAAAAUUGAAGUACGUGAAUGCCCACAGCUGAAGAAGCUCCCACUCAAUUCCAGCAGCGCGAAGGAACGUCGAGUUGUCAUCGAGGGGUCGAAAAAAUGGUGGGAAGAGCUACAAUGGGAGGACCAAGCCACCCAAAAUGCUUUCUCUUCCGGUGUCGUACUUGGGGAUGAUUUUCAUUAAUAUGUUUGAAUAUGUAUUUCUUUUUUUUUCUUUUUUUAAUUUUCAUUAGAUUUAAUUACAUCUUGUUGUUGUUGUCUGGUGUGUCAAUCGUUAUCUAUUUUCAGUUAAUAAAAUUUCAGCAGUGGAUUCUUGGUUUUAGAAUCCUCCCACUGGAAAGAAUUUCUCCUUUGGCUUGAAUGCGACCUUUUUAGUCGUCGACAAAAUUGUAUUUGUCGCUUAAGUCUUGUUUGUUUUAAAAUGCUGGCAAAUUUAUAGAGUGGGAACUCAGAUGCUG
RNAcentral lists this long non-coding RNA (7818 nucleotides) under Citrus x clementina. RNAcentral's name for it is "Citrus clementina (C. clementina) long non-coding RNA (CCLE_LNC001507)". Lineage: Eukaryota; Viridiplantae; Streptophyta; Magnoliopsida; Sapindales; Rutaceae. The record is from RNAcentral.